Molecule: transfer RNA, 72 nt
Filed under: Neoconidiobolus thromboides FSU 785
Lineage: Eukaryota; Fungi; Entomophthoromycota; Entomophthoromycetes; Entomophthorales; Neoconidiobolaceae
Description: tRNA-Pro
Rfam family: tRNA
About the family: Transfer RNA (tRNA) molecules are approximately 80 nucleotides in length.
Source: RNAcentral
GGCUUAGUGGUCUAGUGGUAUGAUUCUCGCUUUGGGUGCGAGAGGCCCUGGGUUCAAUUCCCAGCUGAGCCC